Molecule: ribosomal RNA, 450 nt
Filed under: uncultured bacterium
Lineage: Bacteria
Description: partial 16S ribosomal RNA
Rfam family: Bacterial small subunit ribosomal RNA
Source: RNAcentral
CCUACGGGUGGCUGCAGUAAGGAAUAUUGCGCAAUGGGCGAAAGCCUGACGCAGCGACGCCGCGUGGGGGAUGAAGGUCUUCGGAUUGUAAACCCCUUUCGGGAGGGAAGAUGGAGCGAGCAAUCGUUCGGACGGUACCUCCAGAAGCAGCCACGGCCAACUUCGUGCCAGCAGCCGCGGUAAUACGAAGGUGGCAAGCGUUGAUCCACUGGACGGGGCGUACAGGGAGGCGGGGCGGUUAGGUAAGCCUUAAAGCUUCGGGCCCAACCCGGAAAGCGCAGAGGGUACUGCCAGGCUAGAGGGUGGGAGAGGAGCGCGGAAUUCCCGGUGUAGCGGUGAAAUGCGUAGAGAUCGGGAGGAAGGCCGGUGGCGAAGGCGGCGCUCUGGAACAUACCUGACGCUGAGACACGAAAGCGUGGGGAGCAAACAGGAUUAGAUACCCCUGUAGUC